GCAUCGGUGGUUCAGUGGUAGAAUACUCGCCUGCCAGCCGCGAGCAGCCCGGGUUCAAUUCCCGGCCGAUGCA
RNAcentral lists this transfer RNA (73 nucleotides) under Heliconius melpomene (postman butterfly). RNAcentral describes it as "tRNA-Gly for anticodon GCC". It matches the Rfam family "tRNA". Rfam says of the family: Transfer RNA (tRNA) molecules are approximately 80 nucleotides in length. Their secondary structure includes four short double-helical elements and three loops (D, anti-codon, and T loops). The record is from RNAcentral. Lineage: Eukaryota; Metazoa; Arthropoda; Insecta; Lepidoptera; Nymphalidae.